Molecule: transfer RNA, 73 nt
Filed under: Tursiops truncatus (common bottlenose dolphin)
Lineage: Eukaryota; Metazoa; Chordata; Mammalia; Artiodactyla; Delphinidae
Also listed under: 8 other names
Description: tRNA-Sup (TCA) (tRNA-Sup-TCA-10-1)
Rfam family: tRNA
About the family: Transfer RNA (tRNA) molecules are approximately 80 nucleotides in length. Their secondary structure includes four short double-helical elements and three loops (D, anti-codon, and T loops). Further hydrogen bonds mediate the characteristic L-shaped molecular structure. tRNAs have two regions of fundamental functional importance: the anti-codon, which is responsible for specific mRNA codon recognition, and the 3' end, to which the tRNAs corresponding amino acid is attached (by aminoacyl-tRNA synthetases). tRNAs cope with the degeneracy of the genetic code in two manners: having more than one tRNA (with a specific anti-codon) for a particular amino acid; and 'wobble' base-pairing, i.e. permitting non-standard base-pairing at the 3rd anti-codon position.
Source: Rfam by way of RNAcentral
UCCCUGGCAGUCCAGUGGUUAGGACUCUGUGCUUCAACUGCAAGGGGCACAGGUUCAAUCCCUGUUCGGGGAA